GAUGAACGCUGGCGGCGUGCCUAAUACAUGCAAGUCGAGCGAACAGACGAGGAGCUUGCUCCUCUGACGUUAGCGGCGGACGGGUGAGUAACACGUGGAUAACCUACCUAUAAGACUGGGAUAACUUCGGGAAACCGGAGCUAAUACCGGAUAAUAUAUUGAACCGCAUGGUUCAAUAGUGAAAGACGGUUUUGCUGUCACUUAUAGAUGGAUCCGCGCCGCAUUAGCUAGUUGGUAAGGUAACGGCUUACCAAGGCGACGAUGCGUAGCCGACCUGAGAGGGUGAUCGGCCACACUGGAACUGAGACACGGUCCAGACUCCUACGGGAGGCAGCAGUAGGGAAUCUUCGGCAAAGGGCGAAAGCCUGACGGAGCAACGCCGCGUGAGUGAUGAAGGUCUUCGGAUCGUAAAACUCUGUUAUUAGGGAAGAACAAAUGUGUAAGUAACUAUGCACGUCUUGACGGUACCUAAACAGAAAGCCACGGCUAACUACGUG
RNAcentral lists this ribosomal RNA (497 nucleotides) under uncultured bacterium. RNAcentral describes it as "partial 16S ribosomal RNA". It matches the Rfam family "Bacterial small subunit ribosomal RNA", at positions 28 to 507 of the family's 1533-position model. The record is from RNAcentral.